GGCAGGGUAGCUCAGUUGGUAGAGCAGAGUCUUCAUAAGGCUAAGGUCGCGGGAUCGUGCCCCGCCCCUGCUA
This 73-nucleotide transfer RNA is filed under the name Candidatus Woesebacteria bacterium. RNAcentral's name for it is "tRNA-Met". It matches the Rfam family "tRNA". Rfam says of the family: Transfer RNA (tRNA) molecules are approximately 80 nucleotides in length. Their secondary structure includes four short double-helical elements and three loops (D, anti-codon, and T loops). Lineage: Bacteria; Candidatus Woeseibacteriota. The record is from RNAcentral.